Molecule: transfer RNA, 88 nt
Filed under: Acidobacteriota bacterium
Lineage: Bacteria; Pseudomonadati; Acidobacteriota
Description: Acidobacteria bacterium (groundwater metagenome) tRNA-Tyr
Rfam family: tRNA
About the family: Transfer RNA (tRNA) molecules are approximately 80 nucleotides in length. Their secondary structure includes four short double-helical elements and three loops (D, anti-codon, and T loops). Further hydrogen bonds mediate the characteristic L-shaped molecular structure. tRNAs have two regions of fundamental functional importance: the anti-codon, which is responsible for specific mRNA codon recognition, and the 3' end, to which the tRNAs corresponding amino acid is attached (by aminoacyl-tRNA synthetases). tRNAs cope with the degeneracy of the genetic code in two manners: having more than one tRNA (with a specific anti-codon) for a particular amino acid; and 'wobble' base-pairing, i.e. permitting non-standard base-pairing at the 3rd anti-codon position.
Source: RNAcentral
GGACGGGUGGUCGAGCGGUCAAUGGCACUGGGCUGUAAACCCAGCGAUCUUCGGGUCUACGGAGGUUCAAAUCCUCCCCCGUCCACCA